Molecule: unclassified non-coding RNA, 339 nt
Filed under: Hevea brasiliensis (rubber tree)
Lineage: Eukaryota; Viridiplantae; Streptophyta; Magnoliopsida; Malpighiales; Euphorbiaceae
Source: RNAcentral
GAUCAGAGCUGCAAAAUAACAUCAGAUAACAUUGAUUAUUGGAUACUAUAUAAACUGUUCAAAAUAGUCAUGUACAGAAAAAGCUAUGUCUAGUUGGUUUAUUGGCACCGCAGUAGGACAUUUUGAAACAUUAAGCUACUGCUCACUCUUUUUCAUACUGCAUGAGGUAUUCUAAAAUUGUAAUUAAUGUGAUGUUGAUUUUUGGACACUAAGGCGUCAUUUUGUCAAAUCUGUAUUUUCAUGAAUCAAAGACAAUGGUGUAAGUCAAAUCUGUAUUUUCAUGAAUCAAAGACAAUGGUGUAAGUGUUAAUAAAAUCAUGUGAUGUUGUGCAUAUGUGC